CCCCUAGAUGUUCUGGGCCGCACGCGCGCUACACUGAACAGUUCGACAAGUCUUAACCUUGGCCGAUAGGUCUGGGUAAUCUUUGAACGCUGUUCGUGAUUGGGAUAGACCUUUGCAAUUAUGGGUCUUCAACGAGGAAUUCCUAGUAAACGCAAGUCAUCAGCUUGCAUUGAUUACGUCCCUGCCCUUUGUACACACCGCCCGUCGCACCUACCGAUUGAAUGGUCCGGUGAAAUCUCGGGACGGCGGCUUGGUCGCUUGCGUCCGACUGCUGAAACUUGAUUAAACCAUAUCAUUUAGAGGAAGGUGAANUCGUANCA
RNAcentral lists this ribosomal RNA (320 nucleotides) under uncultured eukaryote. Its description in RNAcentral is "partial 18S ribosomal RNA". It matches the Rfam family "Eukaryotic small subunit ribosomal RNA", at positions 1470 to 1796 of the family's 1831-position model. The record is from RNAcentral.